CCUACGGGAGGCAGCAGUGGGGAAUAUUGGACAAUGGGCGAAAGCCUGAUCCAGCAAUGCCGCGUGAGUGAUGAAGGCCUUCGGGUCGUAAAGCUCUUUUACCAGGGAUGAUAAUGACAGUACCUGGAGAAUAAGCUCCGGCUAACUCCGUGCCAGCAGCCGCGGUAAUACGGAGGGAGCUAGCGUUGUUCGGAAUUACUGGGCGUAAAGAGUACGUAGGCGGUUAUUCAAGUCAGAGGUGAAAGCCCGGGGCUCAACCCCGGAACUGCCUUUGAAACUAGAUAACUAGAGUCUUGGAGAGGUUAGUGGAAUUCCGAGUGUAGAGGUGAAAUUCGUAGAUAUUCGGAAGAACACCAGUGGCGAAGGCGACUAACUGGACAAGUACCGACGCUGAGGUACGAAAGCGUGGGGAGCAAACAGGAUUAGAUACCCUGGUAGUCCACGCCGUAAACGAUGAUAACUAGUUGUUCGGUCACUUGGUGACUGAGUGACGCAGCUAACGCAUUAAGUUAUCCGCCUGGGGAGGUACGGUCGCAGAUAAACUACAANAGAAUAGACGCGNGAGACGNGCCGAACGACGACACGAGGGAGUAGG
This 595-nucleotide ribosomal RNA is filed under the name uncultured bacterium. RNAcentral's name for it is "bacterial SSU rRNA". It matches the Rfam family "Bacterial small subunit ribosomal RNA", at positions 338 to 949 of the family's 1533-position model. The record is from RNAcentral.